RNAcentral lists this ribosomal RNA (468 nucleotides) under uncultured bacterium. Its description in RNAcentral is "partial 16S ribosomal RNA". It matches the Rfam family "Bacterial small subunit ribosomal RNA", at positions 28 to 507 of the family's 1533-position model. The record is from RNAcentral.
GACGAACGCUGGCGGCGUGCUUAACACAUGCAAGUCGAACGGAAAGGCCCUGCUUUUGUGGGGUGCUCGAGUGGCGAACGGGUGAGUAACACGUGAGUAACCUGCCCUUGACUUUGGGAUAACUUCAGGAAACUGGGGCUAAUACCGGAUAGGAGCUCCUGCUGCAUGGUGGGGGUUGGAAAGUUUCGGCGGUUGGGGAUGGACUCGCGGCUUAUCAGCUUGUUGGUGGGGUAGUGGCUUACCAAGGCUUUGACGGGUAGCCGGCCUGAGAGGGUGACCGGCCACAUUGGGACUGAGAGACGGCCCAGACGCCUACGGGAGGCAGCAGUGGGGAAUAUUGCACAAUGGGCGGAAGCCUGAUGCAGCAACGCCGCGGGCGGGAUGACGGCCUUCGGGUUGUAAACCGCUUUCGCCUGUGACGAAGCGUGAGUGACGGUAAUGGGUAAAGAAGCACCGGCUAACUACGUG